AUUGAACGCUAGCGGGAUGCUUUACACAUGCAAGUCGAACGGCAGCGCGGACUUCGGUCUGGCGGCGAGUGGCGAACGGGUGAGUAAUGUAUCGGAACGUGCCCAGUAGCGGGGGAUAACUACGCGAAAGCGUAGCUAAUACCGCAUACGCCCUACGGGGGAAAGCAGGGGAUCGUAAGACCUUGCACUAUUGGAUCGGCCGAUAUCGGAUUAGCUAGUUGGUGAGGUAACGGCUCACCAAGGCGGCGAUCCGUAGCUGGUAUGAGAGGACGACCAGCCACAUUGGGACUGAGAUAGGGCGCAGAGUGGUACGGGAGGCAGCAGUGGGAAAUAUUGCACAGUGGUCGGGAGCGUGAUGCAGCAACGCCGCGUGCGGGAUGAAGGCCUGCGGGUUGUGAACCGUUUUCGCCUGUGACGACGUGUGAGUGACGGUAAUUGGUAAAGAAGCACCGGCUAACUACGUG
RNAcentral lists this ribosomal RNA (464 nucleotides) under uncultured bacterium. RNAcentral describes it as "partial 16S ribosomal RNA". It matches the Rfam family "Bacterial small subunit ribosomal RNA", at positions 29 to 507 of the family's 1533-position model. The record is from RNAcentral.